Molecule: long non-coding RNA, 571 nt
Organism: Gopherus flavomarginatus (Mexican gopher tortoise)
Lineage: Eukaryota; Metazoa; Chordata; Testudines; Testudinidae
Exons: 2
Source: RefSeq, a predicted model, not a curated record
GGGAGCGCGCGGGCAGCGGGGCGCGGAGGGAUCCGGCGGGGGGAGGGGAGGCGCGCUGCGUACCUGCCCGCCCAGCCCUGCCCGCCGCCUGACAGCGCCCCGCCGGGCGGCCGCGCCCAGCCGCGCGGCCCGCGGGACCCGGCCGGGGGUGUUCGGGAGCCCGGCUCCGCUCCGCUCCGCCGCCGGGAGCCUCUCCGCGGCCGGACUCUUUACGGGAAGUCGGAAGGGUCUGAGCGGGGAAGCGGCCUGAAUAAUGAUGUGGUGACACAUUAUUGGCUGGGUGACAGUAGAUGCCAACUGAAGUGAACACAGAAGAAAUAAUUCUUUAUAUUUAAUUGGAAAUGCUUGCACUGCGUGGAGCCAGAAAUUUAAAGCUCUCUUUUUUCUCCCCUUUUUAGUAAAUUUUGUGGCCAACUAAUGAUUUCAUAACCACAGGAAUUGAAAGCCGUGGACAUCAAGUAUUCAUGCAGUUCAUGGAAGGAACUUGUGUGUGCAGAGUUGGAGAUCGCUAAAGUUACUCCUGGCACAGGUUUCAAUGAUAUUUGCAGUAAAAUUAGUCUGAUGCCAAAAU